Molecule: transfer RNA, 61 nt
Filed under: Acidobacteriota bacterium
Lineage: Bacteria; Pseudomonadati; Acidobacteriota
Description: Acidobacteria bacterium tRNA-Arg
Rfam family: tRNA
About the family: Transfer RNA (tRNA) molecules are approximately 80 nucleotides in length. Their secondary structure includes four short double-helical elements and three loops (D, anti-codon, and T loops). Further hydrogen bonds mediate the characteristic L-shaped molecular structure. tRNAs have two regions of fundamental functional importance: the anti-codon, which is responsible for specific mRNA codon recognition, and the 3' end, to which the tRNAs corresponding amino acid is attached (by aminoacyl-tRNA synthetases). tRNAs cope with the degeneracy of the genetic code in two manners: having more than one tRNA (with a specific anti-codon) for a particular amino acid; and 'wobble' base-pairing, i.e. permitting non-standard base-pairing at the 3rd anti-codon position.
Source: RNAcentral
GCGCCCAUAGCUCAGACGGAUAGAGCAUCUGCCUUCUAAGCAGAGGGUCGUGGUGAGCGUA